AAUUCAUGGUGAAGACAUCUUCUCAUCAAAUCCUUAUACCUCUCCCAAGCCUCAUAUAAUGAUUCGGAAUCAAAUUGCAUGAAAGAAGUGAUAUCAUUCCGCAUCU
Molecule: small nucleolar RNA, 106 nt
Filed under: Theobroma cacao (cacao)
Lineage: Eukaryota; Viridiplantae; Streptophyta; Magnoliopsida; Malvales; Malvaceae
Description: Plant small nucleolar RNA R71
Rfam family: Plant small nucleolar RNA R71
About the family: R71 is a member of the C/D box family of snoRNAs containing the C (UGAUGA) and D (CUGA) box motifs. Multiple nearly identical copies of this snoRNA have been identified in Arabidopsis, and it is thought to function as a 2'-O-ribose methylation guide for 18S ribosomal RNA.
Source: Rfam by way of RNAcentral